Phasianus colchicus (ring-necked pheasant) is the source of this 917-nucleotide non-coding RNA. The record is from RefSeq and is a predicted model, not a curated record. Lineage: Eukaryota; Metazoa; Chordata; Aves; Galliformes; Phasianidae.
AAGGUUGUGCUGUUUUUGUUUUCUUUUGAAGAUCUUUUCACUUAUGGAGUGAGGAGGUAAAAUUUAUUAAUUCCAGUAAGGAAGAUGAAGUUCACAUCAAAAGGCAUGGGUCCAUGGAUCCCUUUGCUCCCUUGGUCACAGAACCAGGCCAAGCCAGGCCAAACCUUGACACAGUAAAAAGGUCAGAAAACCAAUGCAGCUGAAGAUGUAGUCUCAUGAAUAUGGAAUAUACUGGACUCAAUAUGCUCAUUCAUAUUUCCAAUUGUCUUUUUUUUCCCAGUGAAUAUAAUUAUGCAAAGUAAAAUUCUAUAGUAGUAAUAUAAGUAACUUCCCUGGAGGUGAAUGUAGGUAUCAGGUUAACACAACUACAAUCAAUUCAGUAGGUGUUAACCUUUUGGGCAGUUGUAUGUAGUUAGAAUGGAUCAAUUUACCAAGGGGCUUCUCCUUAGUGAAGGAUCAUGCUAGUGAUUUUUAAAAAAAAUUUCUUUAGAACUAUCUUAGAUGGAAGAGACUUGCAAUGAUCUUAACACUUGGUUUUGCAGUGGGUGUUUAUCACUUCAGACUGCUACUGGCAGUGAAAUAGAUAGAGAUGGGUUUGAAACUACAUGUAAAGAAACAAAUAGAUUGGACAAAGCACUUUAACGAGAGAACAUUUUAAAACUAUAGUAAAUAUUGUUGUCUUUAGACUAAUGUCAACCCUUUUCUUCCCACAACCAAUUAUUGGAUUUAGUAUGGUAUAAUACUUGCAGAUUAUUUGUAAUAGUUGAGUAUAUCCACAUAUGCUGUUCCUUCUACAGUAAUUGAAAAGUGAUUUUUUCACUACAAUUUAAUUCAAGACAUUUCCCUGACAGUCUGCCCAGACCAAGUUCUUUUUCUAUGCUUCUCCAUAAUUUUGGGAGUAGUUUGCAUAUCACUUC